UAAUACGUAGGGGGCAAGCGUUGUCCGGAUUUAUUGGGCGUAAAGAGCGUGUAGGCGGCUUGGUAGGUCCGCUGUGAAAACUCGAGGCUCAACCUCGAGAUGUCGGCGGAAACCACUUGGCUAGAGUCCGGAAGAGGAGAGUGGAAUUCCCGGUGUAGCGGUGAAAUGCGCAGAUAUCGGGAAGAACACCUAUGGCGAAGGCAGCUCUCUGGGACGGUACUGACGCUGAGACGCGAAAGCGUGGGGAGCGAACAGGAUUAGAUACCCUGGUAGUCCACGCCGUAAACGAUGGGUGCUAGGUGUGGGCGGUGUCGACUCCGUCCGUGCCGAAGCUAACGCAUUAAGCACCCCGCCUGGGGAGUACGGCCGCAAGGCUA
Molecule: ribosomal RNA, 377 nt
Filed under: uncultured bacterium
Lineage: Bacteria
Description: bacterial SSU rRNA
Rfam family: Bacterial small subunit ribosomal RNA
Source: RNAcentral